UCUCCGUUGGUGAACCAGCGGAGGGAUCAUUACCGAGUGCAAACUCAUAACCCUUUGUGAACCUAUAUCUGUUGCUUCGGCGGCUCGCUCUCGGGCGAGCCCGCCGGUAAUAUCAGUAUCUCUGUUUGAACCCGACGAUACUUCUGAGUGUUCUUAGCGAACAGUUAAAACUUUUAACAACGGAUCUCUUGGCUCUAGCAUCGACGAAGAACGCAGC
RNAcentral lists this unclassified non-coding RNA (217 nucleotides) under plant metagenome. RNAcentral describes it as "partial contains small subunit ribosomal RNA, internal transcribed spacer 1, and 5.8S ribosomal RNA". The stretch from base 169 to 217 matches the Rfam family "5.8S ribosomal RNA", at positions 1 to 49 of the family's 154-position model. The record is from RNAcentral.